RNAcentral lists this ribosomal RNA (705 nucleotides) under uncultured bacterium. RNAcentral's name for it is "bacterial SSU rRNA". It matches the Rfam family "Bacterial small subunit ribosomal RNA", at positions 135 to 826 of the family's 1533-position model. The record is from RNAcentral.
AGUAGGGGAUAACACUUGGAAACAGGUGCUAAUACCGUAUAACAACCAAAACCACCUGGUUUUGGUUUCAAAGAUGGCUUCGGCUAUCACUUUAGGAUGGACCCGCGGCGUAUUAGCUUGUUGGUAAGGUAACGGCCUACCAAGGCAAUGAUACGUAGCCGACCUGAGAGGGUAAUCGGCCACAUUGGGACUGAGACACGGCCCAAACUCCUACGGGAGGCAGCAGUAGGGAAUCUUCCACAAUGGACGAAAGUCUGAUGGAGCAACGCCGCGUGAGUGAUGAAGGGUUUCGGCUCGUAAAACUCUGUUGUUGGAGAAGAACAUGUGUGAGAGUAACUGUUCACAUCUUGACGGUAUCCAACCAGAAAGCCACGGCUAACUACGUGCCAGCAGCCGCGGUAAUACGUAGGUGGCAAGCGUUGUCCGGAUUUAUUGGGCGUAAAGCGAGCGCAGGCGGUUUCUUAGGUCUGAUGUGAAAGCCUUCGGCUUAACCGGAGAAGUGCAUCGGAAACCAGGAGACUUGAGUGCAGAAGAGGACAGUGGAACUCCAUGUGUAGCGGUGAAAUGCGUAGAUAUAUGGAAGAACACCAGUGGCGAAGGCGGCUGUCUGGUCUGUAACUGACGCUGAGGCUCGAAAGCAUGGGUAGCGAACAGGAUUAGAUACCCUGGUAGUCCAUGCCGUAAACGAUGAGUGCUAAGUGUUGG